RNAcentral lists this ribosomal RNA (253 nucleotides) under uncultured bacterium. RNAcentral describes it as "partial 16S ribosomal RNA". It matches the Rfam family "Bacterial small subunit ribosomal RNA", at positions 524 to 776 of the family's 1533-position model. The record is from RNAcentral.
UACGUAGGUGGCAAGCGUUGUCCGGAAUUAUUGGGCGUAAAGCGCGCGCAGGCGGUCCUUUAAGUCUGAUGUGAAAGCCCACGGCUCAACCGUGGAGGGUCAUUGGAAACUGGGGGAUUUGAGUGCAGGAGAGAAGAGUGGAAUUCCACGUGUAGCGGUGAAAUGCGUAGAGAUGUGGAGGAACACCAGUGGCGAAGGCGACUCUUUGGCCUGUAACUGACGCUGAGACGCGAAAGCGUGGGGAGCAAACAGG